UACGUAGGGUGCGAGCGUUGUCCGGAUUUAUUGGGCGUAAAGAGCUCGUAGGCGGCUUGUCGCGUCGAAUGUGAAAUCUCAGGGCUCAACUCUGACAUUGCAUUCGAUACGGGCAGGCUAGAGUUCGGUAGGGGAGACUGGAAUUCCUGGUGUAGCGGUGAAAUGCGCAGAUAUCAGGAGGAACACCGGUGGCGAAGGCGGGUCUCUGGGCCGAUACUGACGCUGAGGAGCGAAAGCGUGGGGAGCGAACAGG
This 253-nucleotide ribosomal RNA is filed under the name uncultured bacterium. Its description in RNAcentral is "partial 16S ribosomal RNA". It matches the Rfam family "Bacterial small subunit ribosomal RNA", at positions 524 to 776 of the family's 1533-position model. The record is from RNAcentral.